AGUGAACGCUGGCGGUAGGCCUAACACAUGCAAGUCGAACGGCAGCACAGUAAGAGCUUGCUCUUACGGGUGGCGAGUGGCGGACGGGUGAGGAAUACAUCGGAAUCUACUUUUUCGUGGGGGAUAACGUAGGGAAACUUACGCUAAUACCGCAUACGACCUACGGGUGAAAGCAGGGGAUCUUCGGACCUUGCGCGAUUGAAUGAGCCGAUGUCGGAUUAGCUAGUUGGCGGGGUAAAGGCCCACCAAGGCGACGAUCCGUAGCUGGUCUGAGAGGAUGAUCGGCCACACUGGAACGGAGACACGGUCCAGACUCCUACGGGAGGCAGCAGUGUGGAAUAUUGGACAAUGGGCGCAAACCUGAUCCAGCCAUACCGCGUGGGUGAAGAAGGCCUUCGGGUUGUAAAGCCCUUUUGUUGGGAAAGAAAAGCAGCAGGUUAAUACCCCGCUGUUCUGACGGUACCCAAAGAAUAAGCACCGGCUAACUUCGUG
This 492-nucleotide ribosomal RNA is filed under the name uncultured bacterium. Its description in RNAcentral is "partial 16S ribosomal RNA". It matches the Rfam family "Bacterial small subunit ribosomal RNA", at positions 29 to 507 of the family's 1533-position model. The record is from RNAcentral.